GACGAACGCUGGCGGCGUGCUUAACACAUGCAAGUCGAACGAAGUGGCGAACGGGUGAGUAACGCGUAAUCAACCUGCCCUUCACAGGGGGAUCACAGUUGGAAACGACUGCUAAUACCGCAUACUGAAGGAGGGGUUUGCGUCUGAUUAGCUAGUUGGUGGGGUAACGGCCCACCAAGGCGAUGAUCAGUAGCAGGGAUGGGAGGCUGAACGGGGAGAUUGGGAAUGAGACACGGCACAGACGGCUACGGGAGGCAGCAGUGGGGAAUCUUCCGCAAUGGACGAAAGUCUGAAGGAGCAACGCCGCGUGAGUGAUGACGGCCUUCGGGUUGUAAAGCUCUGUUAAUCGGGACGCGGUACCGGAAUAGAAAGCCACGGCUAACUACGUGCCAGCAGCCGCGGUAAUAC
This 408-nucleotide ribosomal RNA is filed under the name uncultured bacterium. RNAcentral describes it as "partial 16S ribosomal RNA". It matches the Rfam family "Bacterial small subunit ribosomal RNA", at positions 28 to 526 of the family's 1533-position model. The record is from RNAcentral.